GAUGAACGCUGACAGAAUGCUUAACACAUGCAAGUCUUUGGCGAAGCUGUGCUUGCACAGCCUAGCCAAGGCGGACGGGUGAGUAACGCGUAAGGAACUUGCCCUGCAGUCAGGGAUAACAGACGGAAACGACUGAUAAGACCUGGUAAAGUCAGGCGGACUCAUGUCCAGCCUGAUGAAAAGAGAUGCUGCAGGAGAGCCUUGCGUCCUAUUAGCUUGUUGGUGGGGUAACGGCCCACCAAGGCGAUGAUAGGUAGCCGGCCUGAGAGGGUGGACGGCCACAAGGGGACUGAGAUACGGCCCUUACUACUACGGGAGGCAGCAGUGGGGAAUAUUGGACAAUGGGGGCAACCCUGAUCCAGCAAUUCUGUGUGCACGAUGAAGGUUUUCGGAUUGUAAAGUGCUUUCAGCAGGGAAGAAAAAAAUGACGGUACCUGCAGAAGAAGCGACGGCUAAAUACGUG
This 463-nucleotide ribosomal RNA is filed under the name uncultured bacterium. RNAcentral describes it as "partial 16S ribosomal RNA". It matches the Rfam family "Bacterial small subunit ribosomal RNA", at positions 28 to 507 of the family's 1533-position model. The record is from RNAcentral.